Molecule: ribosomal RNA, 609 nt
Filed under: bacterium
Lineage: Bacteria
Description: bacterial SSU rRNA
Rfam family: Bacterial small subunit ribosomal RNA
Source: RNAcentral
CGGACGGGUGAGUAAUGCUUGGGAAUGUACCUUAUGGUGGGGGACAACAGUUGGAAACGACUGCUAAUACCGCAUAAUGUCUUCGGACCAAAGCGGGGGACCUUCGGGCCUCGCGCCAUAAGAUCAGCCCAAGUGGGAUUAGCUAGUUGGUGAGGUAAUGGCUCACCAAGGCGACGAUCCCUAGCUGGUUUGAGAGGAUGAUCAGCCACACUGGGACUGAGACACGGCCCAGACUCCUACGGGAGGCAGCAGUGGGGAAUAUUGCACAAUGGGCGCAAGCCUGAUGCAGCCAUGCCGCGUGUGUGAAGAAGGCCUUCGGGUUGUAAAGCACUUUCAGUAAGGAGGAAAGGUUGGAUGUUAAUAGCAUUCAGCUGUGACGUUACUUACAGAAGAAGCACCGGCUAACUCCGUGCCAGCAGCCGCGGUAAUACGGAGGGUGCGAGCGUUAAUCGGAAUUACUGGGCGUAAAGCGUACGCAGGCGGUUUGUUAAGCGAGAUGUGAAAGCCCCGGGCUCAACCUGGGAACUGCAUUUCGAACUGGCAAACUAGAGUGUGAUAGAGGGUGGUAGAAUUUCAGGUGUAGCGGUGAAAUGCGUAGAGAUCUGAAGG